UACGGAGGGAGCUAGCGUUGUUCGGAAUUACUGGGCGUAAAGCGCACGUAGGCGGCUUUGUAAGUUAGAGGUGAAAGCCCGGGGCUCAACUCCGGAACUGCCUUUAAGACUGCAUCGCUUGAAUCCAGGAGAGGUGAGUGGAAUUCCGAGUGUAGAGGUGAAAUUCGUAGAUAUUGGGAAGAACACCGGUGGCGAAGGCGGCGACCUGGUCCGAUACUGACGCUGAGGCGCGAAAGCGUGGGGAGCAAACAGG
RNAcentral lists this ribosomal RNA (253 nucleotides) under uncultured bacterium. RNAcentral's name for it is "partial 16S ribosomal RNA". It matches the Rfam family "Bacterial small subunit ribosomal RNA", at positions 524 to 776 of the family's 1533-position model. The record is from RNAcentral.